GAAAGCGAUUGCUCCGCCCCUGGAAUGGAUUGGUGGGUAUAAAAGGAGUCUGCAAGUGUAGUUAGAUGAAAGAGAUUGGAAGGAACGGGAGAAAAGGAUGGGAGCCGCGUCGUCAAGUUCUUCCAAUGACUCCAUGGUGUCCACUCCUACAAAUGUCGGUGUCGAGAACCACAUGAACCCAGUCUCCUCGUUCCACGUGGUUCGCUUCAGCCAACCAAAUAGUAUAGCCGUCAACAUGGACGGUUCGUCUGAAGAAAUUAUUAGAUAA
RNAcentral lists this long non-coding RNA (268 nucleotides) under Elaeis guineensis (African oil palm). RNAcentral describes it as "long non-coding RNA (EGUI_LNC065891)". Lineage: Eukaryota; Viridiplantae; Streptophyta; Magnoliopsida; Arecales; Arecaceae. The record is from RNAcentral.